GUGAGGAAUUUUCCGCAAUGGGCGAAAGCCUGACGGAGCAAUGUCGCGUGAAGGAUGAAGGCCUAUGGGUUGUAAACUUCUUUUCUCAGAAAAGAAUUAUGACGGUAUCUGAGGAAUAAGCAUCGGCUAACUCUGUGCCAGCAGCCGCGGUAAGACAGAGGAUGCAAGCGUUAUCCGGAAUGAUUGGGCGUAAAGCGUCUGUAGGUUGUUUAAAAAGUAUUCUGUCAAAGAUUAGGGCUUAACCCUAGAUAGGCAGAAUAAACUUUUAAGCUAGAGUUUGGUAGAGGCAGAGGGAAUUCCCGGUGGAGCGGUGAAAUGCGUAGAUAUCGGGAGGAACACCAAAGGCGAAGGCACUCUGCUGGGCCAAUACUAACACUGAGAGACGAAAGCGAGGGGAGCAAAUGGGAUUAGAUACCCGUGUAGUCC
Molecule: ribosomal RNA, 426 nt
Filed under: uncultured bacterium
Lineage: Bacteria
Description: partial 16S ribosomal RNA
Rfam family: Bacterial small subunit ribosomal RNA
Source: RNAcentral